ACGGAGGAUCCGAGCGUUAUCCGGAUUUAUUGGGUUUAAAGGGUGCGUAGGCGGACCCUUAAGUCAGUGGUGAAAGUUUGCGGCUCAACCGUAAAAUUGUCAUUGAAACUGAGGGUCUUGAGUGUAAAUGAGGUAGGCGGAAUGUGUUGUGUAGCGGUGAGAUGCUUAGAUAUAACACAGAACACCAAUUGCGAAGGCAGCUUACUGGGAUACAACUGACGCUGAGGCACGAAAGCGUGGGGAUCAAACAG
Molecule: ribosomal RNA, 251 nt
Filed under: uncultured prokaryote
Description: partial 16S rRNA
Rfam family: Bacterial small subunit ribosomal RNA
Source: RNAcentral